CUCGUCUCCAACCCUAAUUCUUUUCCCCCUCCCCUACAGCCGCCUUCCCAAUCUCCUCAUCCCCUCCACUCCCUCGACAACGGUGGCGGCGGUGCCCUCUGGUGGCGGAGGAGGAGGGGGGAGAUGGUGGCGGUGGCGCCCUCUGGUGGCGGAGGAGGAGGGGGGAGAUGGUGGCACGUCGGCGACCUUCCCCUCACGCAUCCCAUCCCCCCUCGUCAUCCCGGAUCCCACCGGACCUGAGGCGUGCGGGCGCGGCAGCGACCUGCAAGGGAAGGGCGACGCUCGAAUCGAUCCAGCGCCAUGGAUCGGUCCUUGCGGAAGAAAGAGAAAAUGAGGAGCCGGGGUUGCUGAUCCGGCCGGCCCAGAUCCACACGCCUCCUCCUUCCGCCACCUCACCCCACCAGCUUCCAGCGCUGUGGAUCCGCCGAGGAUGGAUGGCAGCAAGUGAGAGGGAGCAGGAGAAGAGGUGAUCUUUCUUCAUGCUGGGGUGGAGGAGCAGGGAUAGUUUGGAGGCCGGUGGUGGAGGGAAGGAGUCGCCGGGUGGAGGAGAGGUUGGUGCCAGGUCCAAGGAGCAGCGGGGGCAGAGCACCAGGAGGCGCUCCCGUUGCGAUGGGUGGAGCUACAGAGGAGGGGAGGAGGAGGAUGCCGGGCUCAGCCACGAAGACGGCUCGGUCAGGUCGCGACGCCCCAUCCGCCACUUCUGUUGGGCGUCGUCCCCUUUUUCCUCGGAAUCAAAUAGACCAGAUCAAUACUUGCCAGGGUGGAAUCUGCUGCUGCUGCACUGGUUGGUAAUCUGACAUACUACGGCCAGUGGUUGACAAUGAACCAUAAGGAGAAGAAGAACAUGCCAAAAGAUAGAUUGAGCAGCAGCAAGAAGGUGAAGCACCAGGGAGAUGCACAUGGCAUGCCGGAAAUGUUGGGUGACCUCGGCCAGCGUUGGCUGUCCUUGCUGGCGACCUCGCCGUCUGCAACCCACCUCCAGCGGCCUGACCACACAGAGAAGAAUGGCAGACACUGAGGAUUUUUGCGGCAAUUUUUCUAAUUCGUUUUUACCUCAUGGAUUCUCAUUUAUCUCUCUAACUUCCAUUUACUCAAGACAAUUAUGGCUCUGCUCCAAGAUGAAGUAAAAGAAAAGCUUAUAACAGAAGAAACAUAGUUUGAUGGGCGUCCUUGCCAGUGGCAUCGCAGUCUCCAACCCGUCCGCGGGUAUUUCAUCUCCGUCCCAUUCAGUUUACUCCUUUUUGAUUUUUUUCCUACUUGAGCCUUGGAGAUUGCUAAUGGAAAUUUCUCUGGUGAGUUUUGCUUGUACCAGUGGUGCAGAGGAUGUCUUGCUGAACAUAGUUUUUAGUUCUUGAUCUUUUUUCAUAUAAGAAAUCCAAAUACAGUAAUGGCUCUUUCUGGGAGCAAGGCUGUCAUAUAAGGGGAAAAUUUUAGAAGCUAAGCGACCAUAAUUUAAAUCAUGUGUGCCUUGUUU
Molecule: long non-coding RNA, 1474 nt
Organism: Triticum aestivum (bread wheat)
Lineage: Eukaryota; Viridiplantae; Streptophyta; Magnoliopsida; Poales; Poaceae
Exons: 5
Source: RefSeq, a predicted model, not a curated record